UCAAGAAACUUCCACAAUGGGCGAAAGCCUGAUGGAGCGACGUCGCGUGAUGGACGAAGUGCUUCGGCACGUAAACAUCUUUUAUGUGGGAUGAAAUUAUUGACAGUACCACAUGAAUAAGGGGCUCCUAACUCUGUGCCAGCAGGAGCGGUAAUACAGAGGCCCCAAGCGUUAUCCGGAAUCACUGGGCGUAAAGGGUGUCGAGGCGGUUGUAUUAGUCGUUCGUAAAAUCUACGAGCUUAACUUGUAGGCGGCGAACGAAACGGUACGACUUGAGGUUUGGAGAGGUGCGUGGAACUCACGGUGUAGGGGUGAAAUCCGUUGAUAUCGUGGGGAACACCAAAGGCGAAGGCAGCGCACUGGCCAAAAUCUGACGCUCACACACGAAAGCUAGGGUAGCGAAGAGGAUUAG
Molecule: ribosomal RNA, 412 nt
Filed under: uncultured bacterium
Lineage: Bacteria
Description: bacterial SSU rRNA
Rfam family: Bacterial small subunit ribosomal RNA
Source: RNAcentral